GUGAAGUAGGGGCUGCACGCCGGGGUAACACGGAUGGGGCAAGCUGUGGCCGGAGUGAUUGGGGGUAAAGAGCGGGUAGGCUGCCAUGCAGGUCAGUUGUGAAAACUCGAGGCUCAAACGCGGGACGUCGGUUGAAACCGGAUGGCUAGAGGCCGGAAGAGGAGAGUGGAAUUCCCGGUGGAGCGGUGAAAUGCGCAGAUAUCGGGAAGAACACCCAUGGCGAAGGCAGCUCUCUGGGACGGUACUGACGCUGAGACGCGAAAGCGUGGGGAGCAAACAGGAUUAGAUACCCGGGUAGUC
RNAcentral lists this ribosomal RNA (300 nucleotides) under uncultured Deinococcus sp. Its description in RNAcentral is "bacterial SSU rRNA". It matches the Rfam family "Bacterial small subunit ribosomal RNA", at positions 496 to 795 of the family's 1533-position model. Lineage: Bacteria; Thermotogati; Deinococcota; Deinococci; Deinococcales; Deinococcaceae. The record is from RNAcentral.